RNAcentral lists this ribosomal RNA (227 nucleotides) under uncultured archaeon. RNAcentral describes it as "partial 16S ribosomal RNA". It matches the Rfam family "Archaeal small subunit ribosomal RNA", at positions 500 to 724 of the family's 1478-position model. The record is from RNAcentral.
GCGAUAUAUUGGGCUAAAGCGUCCGUAGCUGGCCGAACAGUCCGUCGGGAAAUCCACGUGCUUAACGCGUGGGCGACCGGCGGAAACUGUUCGGCUUGGGGCCGGAGGACCCGAGGGGUACGUCCGGGGUAGGAGUGAAAUCCUGUAAUCCUGGACGGACCGCCGGUGGCGAAAGCGCCUCGGGAAGACGGACCCGACAGUGAGGGACGAAAGCUGGGAUCUCGAAC